This 468-nucleotide ribosomal RNA is filed under the name uncultured bacterium. RNAcentral describes it as "partial 16S ribosomal RNA". It matches the Rfam family "Bacterial small subunit ribosomal RNA", at positions 28 to 507 of the family's 1533-position model. The record is from RNAcentral.
GACGAACGCUGGCGGCGUGCUUAACACAUGCAAGUCGAACGGAAACGCCCUGCUUUUGUGGGGUGCUCGAGUGGCGAACGGGUGAGUAACACGUGAGUAACCUGCCCUUGACUUUGGGAUAACUUCAGGAAACUGGGGCUAAUACCGGAUAGGAGCUCCUGCUGCAUGGUGGGGGUUGGAAAGUUUCGGCGGUUGUGGAUGGACUAGCGGCUUAUCAGCUUGUUGGUGGGGUAGUGGCUUACCAAGGCUUUGACGGGUAGCCGGCCUGAGAGGGUGACCGGCCACCUUGGUCCUAAGAUACGGCGCAGACUCCUAUGGUAGGCAGCAGUGGGGAAUAUUGCACAACGGGCGGAAGCCUGAUGCAGCAACGCCGCGUUCGGGAUGACGGCCUGUUGGUUGUAAACCGCUUUCGCCUGUGACGAAGCGUUAGUGACGGUAAUGGGUAAAUAAGCACCGGCUAACUACGUG